GGGGCUGACUUGGAUUUCGACAGAUUUCUUGUCGCACAGAUAGCAUGCCAAGUGCUACUUGUAAAACAGCAACAAAAAUAACUGUAAACAACACAGAUUACGCUCCAGCUUACGCUAAAGUUGCGUGAGUUAAUCUCCUUUUGGAGCUGGACUGAUUAGAAUUUCUAGCGUUUUAAUCACUCCAUAACCUUAAGCUAGACGCUUUUAAAAGGUGGUUCGCCUUUUAAACUAAGAAACAAGAACUCUUGAAACUAUCUCAAGGUUUUAGAAAGUUGGACCAGAGCUAGUUUUAAGGCUAAAAAACCAACCAAUUUUCUAAGCAUUGUAGAAGUUUGUGUUUAGGACAAGAUUUUUGGACUGGGGUUCGAUUCCCCACAGCUCCACCA
This 386-nucleotide transfer-messenger RNA is filed under the name Helicobacter pylori. It matches the Rfam family "transfer-messenger RNA". Rfam says of the family: Bacterial tmRNA, also known as 10Sa RNA or SsrA, is named for its dual tRNA and mRNA-like properties. RNAcentral also lists the same sequence under 1 other name. Lineage: Bacteria; Pseudomonadati; Campylobacterota; Epsilonproteobacteria; Campylobacterales; Helicobacteraceae. The record is from RNAcentral.